UCCAAGAACAAAAUUUUGUGGGUACAGCAUUCCUCAUCCCUCGGAUAACCGAGUUAAUAUCAGAAUUCAGACAACAGGUGAUGCAGCAAAAGAUGUGUUCAACGAUUCAUGCCAGGAUCUCAUGGUGAUUUGCCAACACGUGAGGAGCACUUUUGACAAGGCUGUCGUUGAUUUUAGAAUGAGCAAAUCCGUAAAUGGCAUGGAUAUUGACUCAAAUAAUUGAAGCCUCUUUUAUCUUAGUUUUGAUUAUAAAUCUAGUCAAUGACGGAUGCAUUACAAGUUUGACCUUGUUUGCUUGUGUUGUGCACUGUAUAGCAAAACUAUUUGUAAUGGUUAUAAAGAACUUGCAAGACCGUCA
Prunus persica (peach) is the source of this 358-nucleotide long non-coding RNA. RefSeq lists it as uncharacterized. Lineage: Eukaryota; Viridiplantae; Streptophyta; Magnoliopsida; Rosales; Rosaceae. The transcript has 2 exons. The record is from RefSeq and is a predicted model, not a curated record.